ACAUGCAAGUCGAGCGAAGAGAUGGGAGCUUGCUCCCAGUAUCUUAGCGGCGGACGGGUGAGUAACACGUGGGCAACCUGCCCUGCAGACUGGGAUAACUCCGGGAAACCGGAGCUAAUACCGGGUAAUACAUCGCACCGCAUGGUGCAAUGUUGAAAGUUGGCUUUCUGAGCUAACACUGCAGGAUGGGCCCGCGGCGCAUUAGCUAGUUGGUAAGGUAAUGGCUUACCAAGGCGACGAUGCGUAGCCGACCUGAGAGGGUGAUCGGCCACACUGGGACUGAGACACGGCCCAGACUCCUACGGGAGGCAGCAGUAGGGAAUCUUCCGCAAUGGACGAAAGUCUGACGGAGCAACGCCGCGUGAGUGACGAAGGCCUUCGGGUCGUAAAGCUCUGUUGUUAGGGAAGAACAAGUACCGUUCGAAUAGGGCGGUACCUUGACGGUACCUAACCAGAAAGCCACGGCUAACUACGUGCCAGCAGCCGCGGUAAUACGUAGGUGGCAAGCGUUGUCCGGAAUUAUUGGGCGUAAAGCGCGCGCAGGCGG
This 547-nucleotide ribosomal RNA is filed under the name Bacillus sp. 2-3. RNAcentral describes it as "bacterial SSU rRNA". It matches the Rfam family "Bacterial small subunit ribosomal RNA", at positions 53 to 578 of the family's 1533-position model. The record is from RNAcentral. Lineage: Bacteria; Bacillati; Bacillota; Bacilli; Caryophanales; Bacillaceae.